CUUGGCACGGUGCUGCCCGGCGCACGUGGCGCCGCUGGACCCGUGCCACCCGGCGUGCCCGGUUCCAUCCCGGCUGCCUCCGUUCGGGAUGACGUAACCCCGGCCGCGGUUGCCUCAGAAGGAAGGAUCCAGGCUCGGGAUGAACCCAUCCCCCGGCCGCACCUGCCCGGUGGGACAAGAUCCAGAAAAAAUCCUUCCCCUGUUCCGGCCACGCACCCGGCAGGAGCCGCGGCCUCCCCGCCCCAUCCCUGCCCCGCCAGGAUUUUGGGAAGGGGAAGAUCAGCUCCGUGCCAUGGCAGCGACCCGAGCCGCCGGGUGACGGGCGGAGGAGGUGGCUGAGGAUGCGAGGAUGGGAAAUCCGUGCUCGGGAUGCUCCCGCCUCGCACAUCAUCCCCUCUCCAUCACCCCGGAGCUGCAAACCAGUUUAUACAUCACCCGGCUCCAGCGCUACCAGAGCUCCUGUUGAAUAUCCCAGCGGAGAGGAGAAAUUCCUGCUGGGAGUUCUCUCCGGCGUCACCCUCGGGAGGGGGGACGGAGGGCGGGCAAAGUUCGGCUCCUAUAAAGUCAGGUCUGGUCCUCUUCAUUCAUUCCCCUGGCAGCACCGCCGGCAGCAGCACGUCCAGCCUUUGCAGAAAAUCUGGGAGCAGCAAAUCCUGCCCCGAAGCCGGCGGAUUUCUGCAGGAUGCCGAGGAGAGCGAUGCCGAAGGCGCUGCGCGGCGUCGGGGCCGCCCUCACCUGCCUGCAGCUCCUGCUGCUCCCCUCGGCCGUGGAUUCCCGGCCCCGCACGUGGGACCAGGACAGGUUCCAGCUGGAAGCCGUCAAAAAGGAGAUCCUGGAGCGGCUGGGAAUGCCGGCUCCCCCCGUCAUCCGGCGCCAGCUGGACCAGGAGAGCAUCCAGAGAGCGCAGCGCCUCUACCAGCGCAAAGUGGCGGAGCUGGCGGGGAACCGGAGCCGGGAGGAGGAGGAAGAGGAGGAAGCCGUGACCAGGACCCGGCGGCUGCACCGCCUGACCCCCACCUGUGAGUGGCCGUGGCUCCGUGUCACCCCCCGAGCCUCGUCCCACGGGACACGCGUGUGUCGCAGCGCGUCCCCGCCUCGGGAAUGUCACCCCGCUACAGGGGACAUGACCGGGCAUGCAGCACGGUGGCCACGCUCAUCCUUAUCCCGCUCCUUCCUUCGCCCUGGAAGUGGGGAGGAGCCGCAGCUGGAGCCGUUUUGCUUAAAAC
Molecule: long non-coding RNA, 1226 nt
Organism: Chloebia gouldiae (Gouldian finch)
Lineage: Eukaryota; Metazoa; Chordata; Aves; Passeriformes; Passeridae
Source: Ensembl